Paramuricea clavata is the source of this 451-nucleotide non-coding RNA. Lineage: Eukaryota; Metazoa; Cnidaria; Anthozoa; Malacalcyonacea; Plexauridae. The record is from the annotation of a GenBank genome assembly.
CUAAAUUGUUAAUAAGAAGAAAUAUUGUACUAAUACAAUACAAAUAAGUCUAUUCAAGGCGUAGGAAUGCUCUGGAUUUCGACAAGAUGUUUCCAUGGGGUGUCCCCCCCUCCCCCCCCCCCCGCCCUGGCGAUGACCCUGCUCCGCUUUUAUCGAGUUCAACAUGUGACUGGCAGAGCGACCAGAUAUAGUAAAAACAUUUUACCUUUGUAACAUUUCGUCAAUUUUGGAAAUUGUUAGUAAAUAUGUUUGGUUCAGUUUGGUUUAAUUAAUGAAUUUGUUACAUUACUUUACAUUACUUGAUAUACAAAAGGUACAGGAAACAAAAGCAAUAACAGUUAGGAUUUGUGACAGGCUUUUGAAACAAAACUCGCGUUCCGAUUGAUAUCUUAUCCCAUACCUAGCGUAUUAGCGGCUUUCCUAGUGGCUACGAGGAGGUGCGUUCAAUCUC